GCAUUGAGUCGUAAAUAAGUUCU
This 23-nucleotide small nuclear RNA is filed under the name Arabidopsis thaliana (thale cress). Its description in RNAcentral is "snRNA_05781". Lineage: Eukaryota; Viridiplantae; Streptophyta; Magnoliopsida; Brassicales; Brassicaceae. The record is from RNAcentral.